GUCGCACAGCUAGUAUGGUGGCUAUUACCCUCGGCUUGUAACCGAGUGGGUUCGGGUUCGAAUCCUGAGUGAGACA
Molecule: transfer RNA, 76 nt
Filed under: Trichonephila inaurata madagascariensis
Lineage: Eukaryota; Metazoa; Arthropoda; Arachnida; Araneae; Nephilidae
Description: tRNA-Thr
Rfam family: tRNA (bases 11-68)
About the family: Transfer RNA (tRNA) molecules are approximately 80 nucleotides in length. Their secondary structure includes four short double-helical elements and three loops (D, anti-codon, and T loops).
Source: RNAcentral